UACGGGGGGGGCAAGCGUUGUUCGGAAUUACUGGGCGUAAAGGGCUCGUAGGUGGCCAACUAAGUCAGACGUGAAAUCCCUCGGCUUAACCGGGGAACUGCGUCUGAUACUGGAUGGCUUGAGUUUGGGAGAGGGACGCGGAAUUCCAGGUGUAGCGGUGAAAUGCGUAGAUAUCUGGAGGAACACCGGUGGCGAAGGCGGCGUCCUGGACCAUUACUGACGCUGAGGCGCGAAAGCGUGGGGAGCAAACAGG
RNAcentral lists this ribosomal RNA (253 nucleotides) under uncultured bacterium. RNAcentral's name for it is "partial 16S ribosomal RNA". It matches the Rfam family "Bacterial small subunit ribosomal RNA", at positions 524 to 776 of the family's 1533-position model. The record is from RNAcentral.